Oreochromis aureus is the source of this 2081-nucleotide long non-coding RNA. RefSeq lists it as uncharacterized. Lineage: Eukaryota; Metazoa; Chordata; Actinopteri; Cichliformes; Cichlidae. The transcript has 3 exons. The record is from RefSeq and is a predicted model, not a curated record.
UCAUAACUAGUUCAUAAACUGCUGUCAGACUAUGUGUGGAGAAUACUUGCCCUUGUGUUGUUUCCUAACAGAAGGCAAGAAGUCCCUCCCACAGCUUCUAAUAAAGGCUAGAAACCAUUAAAAGCACUGACCUGGCUGUCUCUGAACAUAUUAGAAGCCACUUUACAGCCCUUUAAAUCUCACAGAGACAAAGCAGAAGCUGUCAUGCAUUACAGAAGCAAGGACUGAAACAAUGGCAAUGCAUUUAGCUGACUAAAAUGAGAGGCCUCACCUCUCAGCUUUUAGGACUUCAAGGAGCUGUUGCUAACACCUUGGUGCCAGAUACCACAGCUCACCUUCAGGGGUCUGGUGGAGUCCAUGCCUCGAUGGAUCAGCAGCAGCAAUAGGGCGACCAACACAAUAUUAAACAGCACCCAAGGAGGCAGUGAAAAGCUGUGAUGGAUUUACCCCAUAUGGUGAAGUGCAGAAACAGAGAGCAGGCCUGAGAGAAUACCCAUUUGCUUUCUAAGUACAGUGACCUGGAUUGGAUCUGCGUGAGUGUGACUUUGUGCAGUGAUGUGUGGGGGAAAAGGAGCUCAGAUAACUCUGAGAAAUAAAAACGUGACAGAGGAUGCAGUGUUAUAGCAACCAUGUGAAGCAGGAUUCUAAUUAAUCACAGGAACAGUCUUAGUCACAACAGAUCGUCUCCAAACAGCAAGUGUUUUGAUGAGCGCUGCUGUUCAGAAAAAUCACAAGCAGACUGUCCAAGUCUUGGGGUUUGUUGUUUCUAGCUACAUAGCAUUGUUCCUGUCCACAGUAAUCCAAAACAAACUCAUCCAAAGCUCUACAGCUUAGAUCAGUCGCUAUUUAAAUCAACUGCUGCAGCAACACAUUUGCAAAUGGCUUGAACGCAUCUAACAUCUGAAACAUGAAAGCUUAAAAUUUUUUGUGUGACAAAUAAAUCUUUAGGGACCUAAAGUACAACCAUUGAUGUUAUUAUGCUGAUGCUAAGCACCGUGACAUGCGCUUAGGUAAUGUAAAAGGUAUUUGUGCUGUUUGACUCACACUCUUAGACCCUUGUCAGAUAAGUCCCACCAGCCUCGAUAAACCCGAGGUUCCCCUUUCACAACAUGGCAUGCUUCUCUUGGACUUCAAAAACACACGCACAAAAAAAACAAUCCUUUGAAUUUUUGUGCAAAUAGACUUUUUGUGAAAACUGUAGAUCAGCCAUUGCAAAACUUGUGAAAUUAUUUAUGUAUCGGUUUCUGAUGGUGCUCAGUCUCAGCUGCCAUUUGAUGACCUUGACGCGGGUACACCUGUGGAGAUUCCAGUGAGGAUCCAAUUAAGAGACAACGUACACUGGUGACAACAUUUUUCUUUUGCAGCUUCAGCUAGUGCAUCUCCGUUUUGCUCUUUUUUUACUUGCGUGCAGCCAACACAGGCUGAAAAGCCACUGAUCUCUACUACUGGGAAACUAAAAACUUUCAGGUCCCAAAAAUUCUUGUCCUUACCUACUGCUUCUGCAUUUUCAUCGGAAUACAGCUAGAUAUUAGAUAUUGCCAAAGAAUUCUCAUUUCCAGAAAUAGAAGUGAGUUGAAAUGUUUUGCUUCAAAUAAAGACUGAGAACAAAGAAAGCUGACAUUAUGUAUUGGUGUGUUGAGUUUGACUGAUUCAGCAUGUCAACUUUAGCAAUAAUGCAAGACAGCAAUACUGCAAAAGAAGCACUAUUUAUCAUCGUGCUUUGAAAGUAGGUGAAAUAGAUUGAUAAAGUCCCAGUAACCUAGGCCUACAGACUAGUCAAUGACCUCAUGGUAACCACAGGUCACUAAGGAAAAAUGUAAAUAGUGAAUGGUUGCUGGAGGUUCCUGGCAAUCACAAGGCAAAAUUGGUCCCAAAGAAGCAUACAGUGCUGCACUGAAAACAGACAGUGACCGGAAAUAGAUAGUCUAUCUGAUAUCCUGUGUUGGUGUUGUUCCUGCAUCAUCAUCAUAAUGUUUGGCCUGGAUAAACAUUGCAACUGAAAAAUAAUGUGUGGAAGAAAAAAUACCCUUGUUUAUAUAAAACUCUCUUCUGGAACAAAGCAUUCCCAGUGUUUUCUUUAU